CUACGGGGCGCUGCAGUAGGGAAUCUUAGACAAUGGGGGAAACCCUGAUCUAGCCAUGCCGCGUGAGUGAUGAAGGCCUUAGGGUUGUAAAGCUCUUUCGCUGGGGAAGAUAAUGACGGUACCCAGUAAAGAAACCCCGGCUAACUCCGUGCCAGCAGCCGCGGUAAUACGGAGGGGGUUAGCGUUGUUCGGAAUUACUGGGCGUAAAGCGCGCGUAGGCGGGCUAUUAAGUCAGGGGUGAAAUCCCGGGGCUCAACCCCGGAACUGCUUUUGAUACUGGUAGUCUUGAGUUCGAGAGAGGUGAGUAGAAUUCCGAGUGUAGAGGUGAAAUUCGUAGAUAUUCGGAGGAACAUCAGUGGCGAAGGCGACUCACUGGCUCGAUACUGACGCUGAGGUGCGAAAGUGUGGGGAGCAAACAGGAUUAGAUACCCCUGUAGUC
This 439-nucleotide ribosomal RNA is filed under the name uncultured bacterium. RNAcentral describes it as "partial 16S ribosomal RNA". It matches the Rfam family "Bacterial small subunit ribosomal RNA", at positions 339 to 795 of the family's 1533-position model. The record is from RNAcentral.